Molecule: small nucleolar RNA, 135 nt
Organism: Andrographis paniculata
Lineage: Eukaryota; Viridiplantae; Streptophyta; Magnoliopsida; Lamiales; Acanthaceae
Product: small nucleolar RNA snoR137
Exons: 1
Source: RefSeq, a predicted model, not a curated record
UUUGCUUCUUACUGGUGAACCCAUCUGAAAUAAUGAGGGGAGUUUAUGUUUCUGAAACAUAGAGCAAGGUAUCAGAUGCAAACAGCAUGGUGCUUGUGUCUUCUGGCUUCAUGCUACCUGUCUCGUGCUGCACUU